AGCAGCCGCGGUAAUUCCAGCUCCAAUAGCGUAUAUUAAAGUUGUUGCAGUUAAAAGCUCGUAGUUGAAUUUCGGGAUUGACACAUCGGUCGUGCCUUAAGGGGUAUGAACUGGUGUAGUCAAUUUCUCACCUUCUGGAGAACCGCGAUGCCCUUAAUUGGGUGUCGCGGGGAACCAGGACCUUUACUUUGAAAAAUUAGAGUGUUUAAAGCAGGCAUUUUGCUUGAAUACAUUAGCAUGGAAUAAUAAAUAGGACGGCAUGAUUCUAUUUUGUUGGUUUCUAGGAUCACCGUAAUGAUUAAUAGGGAUAGUUGGGGGCAUUAGUAUUCUAAUUGUCAGAGGUGAAAUUCUUGGAUUUAUUGAAGACUAACUACUGCGAAAGCAUUUGCCAAGGAUGUUUUCAUUAAUCAAGAACGAAAGUUAGGGGAUCGAAGACGAUCAGAUACCGUCGUAGUCUUAACCAUAGACUAUGCCGACUAGGAAUCAGACGAUGUAAUUUUUAAUGACUCGUUUGGCUACC
RNAcentral lists this ribosomal RNA (520 nucleotides) under uncultured Entrophospora. Its description in RNAcentral is "SSU rRNA". It matches the Rfam family "Eukaryotic small subunit ribosomal RNA", at positions 569 to 1088 of the family's 1831-position model. Lineage: Eukaryota; Fungi; Glomeromycota; Glomeromycetes; Entrophosporales; Entrophosporaceae. The record is from RNAcentral.